UACAGAGGUCCCAAGCGUUGUUCGGAUUCACUGGGCGUAAAGGGUGCGUAGGCGGUCGGGUAAGUCUGAUGUGAAUCUCACAGCUUAACUGUGAAACUGCAUUGGAUACUAUCCGGCUCGAGGAAUGGAGGGGAGACUGGAAUACUUGGUGUAGCAGUGAAAUGCGUAGAUAUCAAGUGGAACACCAGUGGCGAAGGCGAGUCUCUGGACAUUUCCUGACGCUGAGGCACGAAAGCCAGGGGAGCAAACGGG
Molecule: ribosomal RNA, 252 nt
Filed under: uncultured bacterium
Lineage: Bacteria
Description: partial 16S ribosomal RNA
Rfam family: Bacterial small subunit ribosomal RNA
Source: RNAcentral